RNAcentral lists this ribosomal RNA (116 nucleotides) under Opitutaceae bacterium. Lineage: Bacteria; Pseudomonadati; Verrucomicrobiota; Opitutia; Opitutales; Opitutaceae. The record is from RNAcentral.
CCUGGUGACCACAGGUCGGAGGUACCACCCGUUCCCAUCCCGAACACGGCCGUUAAGCUCUGAUCCGCCAAUGGUAGUGGGACGAUAGGUCUCGCGAGAGUAGGUAAUCGCCAGGG